ACUCCUGUGGGAGGCAGCAGUGGGGAAUUUUGGACAAUGGGGGCAACCCUGAUCCAGCAAUGCCGCGUGAGUGAAGAAGGCCUUCGGGUUGUAAAGCUCUUUUGUCAGGGAAGAAACGGUAGUAGCGAAUAACUAUUACUAAUGACGGUACCUGAAGAAUAAGCACCGGCUAACUACGUGCCAGCAGCCGCGGUAAUACGUAGGGUGCAAGCGUUAAUCGGAAUUACUGGGCGUAAAGCGUGCGCAGGCGGUUGUGUAAGUCAGAUGUGAAAUCCCCGGGCUCAACCUGGGAAUUGCAUUUGAGACUGCACGGCUAGAGUGUGUCAGAGGGGGGUAGAAUUCCACGUGUAGCAGUGAAAUGCGUAGAUAUGUGGAGGAAUACCGAUGGCGAAGGCAGCCCCCUGGGAUAACACUGACGCUCAUGCACGAAAGCGUGGGGAGCAAACAGGAUUAGAAACCCCAGUAGUCCCAUG
RNAcentral lists this ribosomal RNA (473 nucleotides) under uncultured organism. RNAcentral's name for it is "partial 16S ribosomal RNA". It matches the Rfam family "Bacterial small subunit ribosomal RNA", at positions 335 to 799 of the family's 1533-position model. The record is from RNAcentral.